Molecule: ribosomal RNA, 424 nt
Filed under: uncultured prokaryote
Description: bacterial SSU rRNA
Rfam family: Bacterial small subunit ribosomal RNA
Source: RNAcentral
UGGGGAAUCUUGGACAAUGGGCGCAAGCCUGAUCCAGCCAUGCCGCGUGGGUGAAGAAGGCCUUAGGGUUGUAAAGCCCUUUCAGUCGUGACGAUGAUGACGGUAGCGACAGAAGAAGCCCCGGCUAACUCCGUGCCAGCAGCCGCGGUAAUACGGAGGGGGCAAGCGUUGUUCGGAUUUACUGGGCGUAAAGGGCGCGUAGGCGGGCGAUCAAGUCAGGGGUGAAAGGCCUGGGCUCAACCUGGGACGUGCCUUUGAAACUGAUUGUCUUGAGUGCGGGAGAGGGUGACGGAAUUCCCAGUGUAGAGGUGAAAUUCGUAGAUAUUGGGAGGAACACCGGUGGCGAAGGCGACCACCUGGACGGGUACUGACGCUGAGACGCGAAAGCGUGGGGAGCAAACAGGAUUAGAUACCCGUGUAGUCC